Molecule: long non-coding RNA, 252 nt
Organism: Myotis davidii
Lineage: Eukaryota; Metazoa; Chordata; Mammalia; Chiroptera; Vespertilionidae
Exons: 3
Source: RefSeq, a predicted model, not a curated record
AAGCUGACUCUGAAUUCUUUGAAAACAAUCCUCUAAGGUGAAUGAACUAUUCCAGCAGUUAAAUAUCCCAGUGACUCUGCUUAAUCCAGGAUACUGAUCAUUCCCUAUGAAGACUGACAAUGUUAGCCAGAGAAUACGCUGCAUUGAAAAGGAAAUACUGUACCUCAGAGAGGCCGGGACAGGAAUUGGAUAGACAUGGAUUGUCUCCUUAUCCUGGAGGGUGUCUGUCUGUAUGAAAUCAUUACCUGGAUC